Long non-coding RNA from Gallus gallus (chicken), 1185 nucleotides. Lineage: Eukaryota; Metazoa; Chordata; Aves; Galliformes; Phasianidae. The record is from Ensembl.
UGCUUUGGCUGUGCCUCCCUCCUUCCAGCCGAAGAGUGGGUGCGGAUCAGGCGCAAGGUGAGGCUGUGCAAGGGCAGGGCAGCGAAGCGUUGGGCUGGUUGCCUGGGGAGCUCUGCAAUUUCCAUUUCUGGAGGACUGUGAGAACUUGCGGGGAAUGAACUCACCUGUGAGGAAUGGCAUAACCACGGGGCUUCCUGCCUGCUCAGUGACCUCUCCCGGGCUGCUUCAGCCCAGCCUCCUUCAGUGCUGUGAGCCAGCCUCGAGCUGACACUGCACUGCAAUAGCAGAAUAAAUACACGUCUGGUCACGGCUGUUCUUUGACUGACACAUUGAAAACGCCGCUGUUGUUGAGUUGACGUGUUCCUAAUUCCCUCCAACUCCACAGGAUCCGAGCAGCAAGCAUGUUCCCCAGUUCCCUCCUGACAAAUGUGGCAGUCCCCUGCCUCUGCAAUUAGUUUGGCCCACAGGUCCAUAUCUGUUGAAAAGUUAAGGGUUUCUUUCAGGUGUCACGUGCCUCCCUGUGCCUCAAGGGCUCCGUGCCUGUACCCAGUAUUAAGACACUGCUGAGUACGUGAAAAAUGGUGUUUAUUCUAAUUGCCAUGGAGAGCAUUUCACUCAUGCAUUUUUAAGCAAAAUAGCUGCAAUUUUGAAUUUCAUCCAUUCGUGCACCUCAGGUAUUUAAAUUUCAUUUGUCGCUUUGGAGUCUCAGUGUCUUAUGAAGUAAAGAAAAAGGUAAAAAUAGCCUCUGGUUUUGUCCGUUUCUUCCUCCAUAGAACAGACAGGGAUUUUUUCCUUGAGGGUCCGCUCAAGGAAAUCGCUGCAUUUUCAUCCUUACAAAAGGCUUUGGAGCAGGUCCACCCGUACAGAUAGUCCUCUUUUUUUCUCAUCUCCUUUAAUUGAAUGUAUGACAUAUUUAAUUCUGGCAGUGUUCUUUAUCUCUGUGAGAAGUCCUUUUAAUUCACUGUGUAAGAAAGUGUUCUGUGAUGUGGCUACCUGAUUUUAUUGAAACUCUCAUGUCGGGAAAAAAAAAAUCACUGCCUUCCCUGUCAAAACUGACAGUAAUUACGAGUCCAAAUAUAUAGCUGUGAUUGACUUGUAAAACCAAAUCUGUAAUAUUUCAAGUUUGCACGUUGGCUUGUGCAGCUUUCAGGAAAUACAACCCAGCGUUUUCCUUGCAAACUGACG